RNAcentral lists this microRNA precursor (74 nucleotides) under Drosophila yakuba. Its description in RNAcentral is "Dya-Mir-29-P1_pre stem-loop". Lineage: Eukaryota; Metazoa; Arthropoda; Insecta; Diptera; Drosophilidae. The record is from RNAcentral.
ACUGAGAUCGAUUGGUGCAUAGAUAUCAAGACAACCCACUCAAUUCAACUCUAGCACCAUUCGAAAUCAGUGCU